AGAGAGAGAGAGAGAGAGCAGAAGGGUGUAACUUUCAAGAAACAAAUGAAACAAAUGAAGUUCACAGAGUUAGAGCUAUAAUUUUCACACAUAUGUGCUCACAUGUGCAUGAUUAGAUUAGAUCAGUCUUGUCAAAACCGCUAGGCACCCUUAAAGGGCUAGGCGCUUGCCUUAGUAGGGGUAAGCAUUCGGUUAACCGAAUCGAAACAAACUGAAUUUUCAACUAACCGAAUUAUUAAUCGACUUUAAAAUUAUUAACCGAAUCGAACCGAAAUCGAAAGAAAACCAAAAUUAACCAAAACUGAAAAUAUUCGGGCGAUUAUCAGUUAUAACCGAAUUAACCGAAAAAAAUA
RNAcentral lists this unclassified non-coding RNA (353 nucleotides) under Hevea brasiliensis (rubber tree). The record is from RNAcentral. Lineage: Eukaryota; Viridiplantae; Streptophyta; Magnoliopsida; Malpighiales; Euphorbiaceae.